Molecule: ribosomal RNA, 506 nt
Filed under: uncultured bacterium
Lineage: Bacteria
Description: partial 16S ribosomal RNA
Rfam family: Bacterial small subunit ribosomal RNA
Source: RNAcentral
AUUGAACGCUGGCGGCAGGCCUAACACAUGCAAGUCGAACGGUAGCACAGAGGAGCUUGCUCCAUGGGUGACGAGUGGCGGACGGGUGAGUAAUGUCUGGGAAACUGCCCGAUGGAGGGGGAUAACUACUGGAAACGGUAGCUAAUACCGCAUAACGUCUUCGGACCAAAGUGGGGGACCUUCGGGCCUCACACCAUCGGAUGUGCCCAGAUGGGAUUAGCUAUUAGGUGGGGUAAUGGCUCACCUAGGCGACGAUCCCUAGCUGGUCUGAGAGGAGGACCAGCCACACUGGAACUGAGACACGGUCCAGACUCCUACGGGAGGCAGCAGUGGGGAAUAUUGCACAAGGGGCGCAAGCCUGAUGCAGCCAUGCCGCGUGUAUGAAGAAGGCCUUCGGGUUGUAAAGUACUUUCAGCGGGGAGGAAGGCGUUAAGGUUAAUAACCUUGGCGAUUGGCGUUACCCGCAGAAGAAGCACCGGCUAACUCCGUGCCAGCCGCCGCAGUAA